GGGGCAUCAGGUGUAGCAAUACACGCUGGCGACCGGCGCACGGGUGAGUAACACGUAUCCACCUGCCCUUUACUCGGGGAUAGCCUUUCGAAAGAAAGAUUAAUACCCGAUGGUACCUCCUGGUUAAAGAAUUUCGGUAGAGGAUGGGGAUGCGUUCCAUUAGGCAGUUGGCGGGGUAACGGCCCACCAAACCUUCGAUGGAUAGGGGUUCUGAGAGGAAGGUCCCCCACAUUGGAACUGAGACACGGUCCAAACUCCUACGGGAGGCAGCAGUGAGGAAUAUUGGUCAAUGGGCGAGAGCCUGAACCAGCCAAGUAGCGUGAAGGAUGACCGCCUAUGGGUUGUAAACUUCUUUUAUAUGGGAAUAAGGGUGCCACGUGUGGCAUUUUGUAUGUACCAUAUGAAUAAGGAUCGGCUAACUCCGUGCCAGCAGCCGCGGUAAUACGGAGGAUCCGAGCGUUAUCCGGAUUUAUUGGGUUUAAAGGGAGCGUAGGUGGACAUGUAAGUCAGUUGUGAAAGUUUGCGGCUCAACCGUAAAAUUGCAGUUGAUACUGCGUGUCUUGAGUACAGUAGAGGUGGGCGGAAUUCGUGGUGUAGCGGUGAAAUGCUUAGAUAUCACGAAGAACUCCGAUUGCGAAGGCAGCUCACUGGACUGCAACUGACACUGAUGCUCGAAAGUGUGGGUAUCAAACAGGAU
RNAcentral lists this ribosomal RNA (697 nucleotides) under uncultured bacterium. RNAcentral's name for it is "bacterial SSU rRNA". It matches the Rfam family "Bacterial small subunit ribosomal RNA", at positions 66 to 778 of the family's 1533-position model. The record is from RNAcentral.